GUAAACGGGUCAGGUUCCAGUAAAGCGGGUCAGGCCCCAGUAAAGCAGGUCAGUUCCCAGUAAAGUGGGUCAGGCUCCAGUAAAGUGGGUCAGGCCCCAGUAAAGUGGGUCAGGCCCCAGUAAAGUGGGUCAGGCCCCAGUAAACGGGUCAGGUUCCAGUAAAGCGUGUUAGGCCCCAGUAAACCGGGUCAGGCUCCAGUAAAGUGGGUCAGGCUCCAGUAAAGCGGGUCAGGCCCCAGUAAAGCGGGUCUGGUCCCAGUAAAGCGGGUCAGUUCCCAGUAAAGUGGGUCAGGCUCCAGUAAAGCGGGUCAGGCCCCAGUAAAGUGGGUCAGGCUCCAGUAAAGCGGGUCAGGCCCCAGUAAAGCGGGUCUGGUCCCAGUAAAGCGGGUCAGUUCCCUAUUAUUAUUCAUCUCUGAUCACUGAUUGGAUCUUUAAAUUUCUGCUUUGAUGAUGAUGAUGAAGUUCAAAGACGUUUUAUUCAGGCGAUGGGCCGAUGUCUCACUCGCUGUGUGUUUGGACACCCUGAGCCUGAGUCCAUGGACCGAGGGACACGUAGGAGCGGUAGGACACACUGACUGUUAGACAGGAUGAUGAAGGUGGAUUCUCUCUCUCUGCUGUGGUACCGUCGGACUCUUUUUACCGUCUGUUUGCAGAUCAGAGAUUCUGAACCAGUGUACAUGUUUUGCUCCUGUUUUAAAUCUGUUAAUAAACUGUCAACCUGCUCUUUGAA
Long non-coding RNA from Fundulus heteroclitus (mummichog), 730 nucleotides. RefSeq lists it as uncharacterized. The record is from RefSeq and is a predicted model, not a curated record. The transcript is spliced from 2 exons. Lineage: Eukaryota; Metazoa; Chordata; Actinopteri; Cyprinodontiformes; Fundulidae.